RNAcentral lists this ribosomal RNA (253 nucleotides) under uncultured bacterium. RNAcentral describes it as "partial 16S ribosomal RNA". It matches the Rfam family "Bacterial small subunit ribosomal RNA", at positions 524 to 776 of the family's 1533-position model. The record is from RNAcentral.
UACGUAGGCAGCGAGCGUUGUUCGGAAUUACUGGGCGUAAAGAGUGUGUAGGCGGUGCUCUAAGUCUGUUGUGAAAUCUCCCGGCUCAACUGGGAGGGUGCGGCGGAAACUGGAGUGCUCGAGUGUGGGAGAGGUAAGCGGAAUUCCUGGUGUAGCGGUGAAAUGCGUAGAUAUCAGGAGGAACACCUGCGGUGUAGACAGCUUACUGGACCACGACUGACGCUGAGACACGAAAGCGUGGGUAGCAAACAGG